Molecule: ribosomal RNA, 190 nt
Filed under: uncultured Glomus
Lineage: Eukaryota; Fungi; Glomeromycota; Glomeromycetes; Glomerales; Glomeraceae
Description: partial 18S ribosomal RNA
Rfam family: Eukaryotic small subunit ribosomal RNA
Source: RNAcentral
AUUACGCCCUGCCCUUUGUACACACCGCCCGUCGCUACUACCGAUUGAAUGGCUUAGUGAGACCUUUGGAUUGGGGUUUUGGGAUCGGCAACGAUCCUAUUUCUCCGAGAAGUCGGUCAAACUUGGUCAUUUAGAGGAAGUAAAAGUCGUAACAAGGUUUCCGUAGGUGAACCUGCGGAAGGAUCAUUAA